RNAcentral lists this long non-coding RNA (973 nucleotides) under Homo sapiens (human). RNAcentral's name for it is "long intergenic non-protein coding RNA 2443". The record is from RNAcentral. Lineage: Eukaryota; Metazoa; Chordata; Mammalia; Primates; Hominidae.
GGGAACACAAUGAGGCAAUGUUUCAGCUGCUUGUGCAUUCUUCACCUCCCAUUGUCUCUGUCUCUCUCUUUCUCCUCUGCUUCCCCUCACCCCACAACCAAAGUCAAGAGCGCAGACCCCAUGAUCACCUGAUACUUCCAAGCAAGCAGGUGUUCUUUUCAGAAGCCAGAAGCUGAUAACCUGGGCUUUCUGAUCUAACCCCAGCCCAAAUUCAUUGCAAUGGAGGAAUUGGGGAGGAGAUUCUUCCUACUGAGAAGUGGGUGCCAACUCUCCCUUUCAAAUUUGUUCAUCAACAAACUAAAGGGGAUGCCAGAAAUGUCUGGAGCAAUGGAAGAACCACUGGAAUAAUGCUCCUGCCUGAUUGUAUCUACUUAACCCACUCUCCAAGAGCCAGAAUCAGAUUUCAACCGUAUGGAAUCAUCUACAAUGCAGCAGAUGGGUUUACAAGUCUCUUGGUCUCUUCAUAAGGCGCAGCAAUCGUGUCCCAAGUCCUUGAGGACUUCACAGGGUGUUCUAGUGUCCUGAGAAUAUACCUGCCUAAGGAAUUUGGCUAUAGCUGGUAUUGGGUUCCUCAAACCAGCCCACCUGCGCUAUGGGAAUGUCAAAAUUGUCCUGGCAAGCUGAGGGGGCAUCCAGAGGUCACCCAGCUUUCCCCUGAAGCGUUGCUCAGAGGCCACUGUACCAUAAAAGGGAGUUCCCAUCCCACACUGGUUCUGAAAGCCCUGGUGUCCAGGCCCGUGUUGUGAUCUUUUCUCCUCUGCCUAGGGCGUAUCUGUUAGGGAGACUCCCAUGAGGGAGGGGAGCCGAGGGAAGAGGCUGAGUGAGGUGAAGAGAGUGUGUUUGUCCCUCCAGCUGUGCCAGGGUCUUCUCAGCCCUUCUCACAGAGGGCUGUCUGUGGACCUCUGUUCCUGGAAUCACCCCUCUGCACCACCCAAACUCCCUGAUUAUGAAUUACACAAUACAUCCCUAAUUC